CAUGGUUGUAUGCUGACCCGAAAACAACAACAUGAAGGAUUAGAUCUUGCCGUGCCGCCGUUCUCUCUUCUUCCCAUCCAUCUCACAUACUUCUUACUCAUUUUUUAAGUUUCUGUUAUUAAAUUUCUACCCAUCUCAUCACCUCUUUAAUAUUUUGGAUUGAGUUGCUUCCAUUAAAUUUGAUGUUAUCAAACAAAUUCACACAACCGCUUCAGAUCUACGCUGCACUGCUCUUCAUUGUCUCCCUUUCUUCUAUUUUUCAGUUUUUUUUUUUUUAAAUCAAGAUUGAUGCAUUGACCCGGUCCGGUUCACCAAAUCGGCCGAGUCACCGAUUUUGAUCAGUUUUGGCCGAGUCACACCGGUUCUUACCGGGUUAAAUGCAUGUCCGAUCCAUCUUGUAGCUCGAACCGGCCACACCACCGGUUCACGGUCGGACCGGUUCGGUUUUUAAAACUAUGGUUUAAAGUAUUUGUUGUGGUGGUGUAAUUUGAGAUUGUGGAAGUUUCACUAUGAACCCUCAUGUUUGUUUAAAAGUCCCUCAAUUUACCAGAACUAUUUUGUAGUCGUAACACAUAAGAUAAUUUUCGAAACCUCAUUUGCUAACAAUCUAUGUGUUAGACACUGUGAGAGUUAACUUAAAAUCAGAAAUCUGGAGCAUCGUGCCACGAUGGAGAAGCAUCGCGCCACGAUGGUUGAAGCAAGAUUCCUGGGAAGAUACUGGAUUUUUCGUGCCACGAUGAAGCCUCAUUGCGCCACGAUGGUCGCGCUGAAGAUAAAAAUAAAACGUAUUUUCAGUUAGAUUUGUUUCAGUUUUAUAAGGGUUUACUUUCCACUAUAAAUACAGCCUUGUAUCAGAUGAUAAAAGUGUGUAGAAAAACAAGGUUUAAACCAACAAACAAACUAGGGUUUAUAGAGAAUCUCUUUUGGCAACAACUCUAGGGUUGGGAUUGUUUUGAUUCACCUUGAACAAAACACUAUUAGGAUUGAGUCUCUUGGUCACGAGAAGAGGCUGAGACUUGGGUAGAAUUAGGUUUGAAGAUUGAUUCUUGAAACUCAUUAUCUCUUUGUAAAGAAACUCAUUCAUUAUAGUGGAACGGAGAGCUGCUCUCUCCCCCAGACUAGGUCAUCAUUAGACCGAACUGGGUAAACAAAUAUCUUGUGUUCUCUCUCUCUCUCUCUCCUUUAACUCUUGCUGUUUUUUGUUUGGAUUAUUUGCUACCCGCUUGAUUUGAUUACUUGGUAUUAAUUUGCUCCACGCAUCAAGUUUUUAUUGGUGUGGUUUUUCUCAACGAAUUCACAACAAUUGGCGCCCACCGUGGGGCAAAGGUCAAAUCAAUAGCCAGGUAUCAUGGGUUUGAAGUGGGAUAUUGAAAAGUUCACCGGUAGUAACGACUUCGGGUUGUGGAAGGUGAAGAUGAGGGCAAUCUUAAUUCAACAAAAGUGCGUUGAAGCACUAAAGGGAGAAGCGCAGAUGUCUGCACAUCUGAUACCUGCUGAGAAGACGGAGAUGAAUGAUAAGGCAGUCAGCGCUAUCAUUCUGUGUCUUAGGGAUAAGGUGUUGAGAGAAGUAUCAAGGGAGGCUACUGCUGUGUCUAUGUGGAAUAAGCUUGAUUCAUUAUACAUGACCAAGUCUUUGGCACAUAGACAGUGCCUGAAACAACAACUCUACUUUUAUCGUAUGGUGGAGUCAAAACCUAUAAUGGAGCAACUGACGGAGUUCAAUAAGAUUAUUGAUGAUUUGACGAACAUAGAUGUUAAUCUGGAAGACGAGGAUAAAGCCUUACACCUAUUGUGUGCUUUACCUAGGUCCUUUGAGAAUUUCAAGGAUACUAUGCUUUAUGGCAAAGAGGGCACUAUCACUUUGGAGGAAGUUCAAGCAGCUUUGAGAACCAAAGAGUUAACCAAGUUCAAAGAGUUGAAGGUUGAUGAUAGUGGAGAAGGCUUGAAUAUCUCAAGGGGGAGAAGUCACAACAAAGGAAAAGGGAAAGGCAAGAAUUCCAGGUCAAAGUCUAGGUCGAAGGGUGAUGGCAAUAAAACACAGUACAAAUGUUUUAUUUGUCAUAAUCCAGGUCACUUCAAGAAGGAUUGUCCGGAGAGAAAGGACAAUGGAGGUGGAGAAUCAUCCGUUCAGAUUGCAAGCAAAGAUGAAGGUUAUGAGAGUGCUGGAGCACUAACUGUGACAAGUUGGGAACCUGAAAAGAGCUGGGUCUUGGACUCUGGGUGCUCUUAUCACAUUUGUCCAAGAAAGGAGUACUUUGAAACGUUAGAGCUGAAAGAAGGUGGAGUAGUUCGCCUUGGUAAUAAUAAGGCUUGUAAAAUUCAAGGUAUGAGCACUAUCUGUAACACCCCGUUUUCCCAACAUAAAAAUUUCGCAUAAAUAAUCAGAGUUUUUCAACAUAAACGGAAUGUCACAUUCUUUUCUUAAAAUCAUAAACUGAAUAAAUAACUAUUUAUCCUUUAAAAUUCAAAUACAAGAUCUUUAAUACUUCGCAGCGGAAUUUAUUUCAAUAACUAAAACAGUCUUUGGCACGAAGGCCUCUUCAUAAAUGUCGUAUAAAAAUCUAAUCUAAAAACAUAGUCAUAAAUCUUCAAAAACAAUACGUAAGGAAUAGAAAAGCAAUAACAAAGUUCCCAUCCCGUUACGUAUCAGAGCACCUAAGACACACGAGAAGGAAAGCUCACACGACAUCAACUAUUCUUGGUUACCUGUUAGUUGCCCAUGGUGGGCAAACAGAAGGGGUGAGAUUUCACAAACAAUAAUAUUAAGCAUAUAAUUCAUCAAUUACAUUUAACAACAUAAGCAUCAUCAAUCAUAUUUAACAACUCAUAGACAACAUCAUGUAAUCAUCAUAAUAUUCAUCAUAGAUAAUAAUAUAUCAUAAUUCACUUCUUUAAUAGUUCAUAUAAAGAAUCACAGCUUUAAACAAUUUCAUGAUUUAACAACUUAACAACUCGACAACCUGAUAACUUGACAACUUGACAACUUAACCUCUUGACUAUGCAACUUAAUCUUCUAAUCAUGCAUGUGGUAUCAAUCUUUGAGCGUAAAUAGGCUCCAGGGCAUCAAGCCCUCAACUUUAUUUGAGCGUAAAAAGGCUCCAAGGGCAUCAAGCCCUCAACUUAAUUGAGCAAAGGCUCCAGGGCAUCAAGCCCCCAACAAUGAAAUGCUAAUGCAUGGACUCGACCUCUUAACAUCUUAAAUCGACAACCUCUUAUAUAAUCCAAUAAUUUGGAACUUCAUCAUCUUAAUCAACUUAGACCGACUCAUGCAGCUUAGUUAAAUAACAACAGCAACACAACAGUAUACAAAAACAGCAUGACAUAAUAAUAUCAAAUGCAAGUCAACAACGUCUCAAUUAUUCACAUAUAAUUCAAGUAAUGCAUAUACAAUUAUAUCACAAUAUAACAACAUCAAAUAAUAAUCAACAUCUUAAAACAUCAUAUAUACAUAUAACACUUCAUCAAUCAUGGACAAUAUCGUAUUCACAAACAUAUACAUACAUAUACUAAUUCAUCAAUCAUAUUCAAUUAUUCACUGUGACCUACGUUCAGUAAUUUGACCAUAACUCAAAUUCUAUAAAUCCUUUUGAAGUCAAACCAACGGCAUUAGAAAGCUAACAUUUAUACCUACAACUUUCGUGUUUACACCUAAGACCAAUUCUGUACCAAUCAAUACCAGUUUUCAUUUCAAAUUCGGACAAAGUUGUGCUGAAAUUCAUAAAAAUUCACUGUGACCUACGUGCAGUAAUUUGACCUUAACUCAUAAACCAAAAUUCAUUUUCAAGUCAAACCGAUGCCACUGGAAAGCUAACACAAUUAGCUACAACUUUCAUGUUUACACCAAAGGCUAAUUCAAAACAGAAAUGUGUGAAAAAGACGCAAGAACAUGAAACAUGACAUGCUGUCAGAGAGCAACUCGGGAAAAAACACACUUUUCACCCCAAAAUUCCAAUUUUAACUUCCCUAUGCCCAAAUUUGAUCCCAAAAGUUUGUCUAAACAUUUAUAUACAUCAAAAGAGACUCAAAACCAUAUAAAACUUGACCCAAAACAUUAUUUUAGAAAAUCAUCAAAUAAUCACUUUUAACCCUAAUUCCCAAAUUCUCAAAAACUAAAACCUACAACAUGUUAAAUUCAAUUUUCAGAAUCAAUGACUUAAGAUUAUUGAAUGUUAGUCCCACCCUUACCUUAUAGAUGAAAAUCGCAGCACUCCUAGGUCUUCUCCCUCCUCUCGGCUUUUUCUCCCUUUUCUCCAAAAUUGAUCGUACGUUAUGUUUUUUCUAAAUUAGGUUUCUCCUAUUUAUAACCCUUUUUUCUAUUUUAUCUUAUUUCUCUUUCUCCCCCAAAACUCUCUAAAAUCUCAUAACAAACUCUCAACUCAAUCUUAUUUCUAUUUUCAAAUCUUAAUCUAUUAAAUAACAACAUAAGCCACUUAAUAAAUCACAUAAUCAAAUAAAUAUAUUUUAAACUCUUCUUAAUAAAUUUUAGACUCAAUUAAAUAAUUAAAUAAAUCAAAUAAUUCAAAGAGGGCGUUACACUAUCCGACUCAAAAUGUUUGAUGAUCGUGAUUUCCUUUUGAAGAAUGUGAGGUAUAUUCCUGAACUUAAGAGAAAUUUAAUAUCCAUAAGCAUGUUUGAUGGUCUAGGCUAUUGCACUAGAAUUGAACGUGGUGUGAUGAGAAUUUCUCAUGGUGCAUUGGUUAUGGCUAAGGGGUCUGAAAUACAAGGUCUAUAUAUUUUAGAAGGUUCUACCGUAAUAGCAAAUGCAUCGGUUGCUAGUGUUGACACUCGGAACAUAACUAAACUUUGACAUUUGAGGUUAGGUCAUGUCAGUGAGAGGGGUUUGGUGGAGCUAGCUAAACAAGGUUUGCUAGGGAAUGAAAAAUUGAACAAGCUAGAUUUCUGUGAUAACUGCACAUUAGGCAAACAACACAAGGUGAAGUUUGGAGUGGGGGUGCAUAAAUCUAGUAGGCCUUUUGAGUAUGUUCAUUCGGAUCUUUGGGGUCCAGCAUCGACGAAGACUCAUGGGGGAGGUUCAUAUUUCAUGUCUAUCAUUGAUGAUUAUUCUAGAAGAGUAUGGGUUUACAUUCUGAAGAAGAAAAGUGAUGCUUUUGAAAAAUUCAAGGAAUGGGAUACACUUGUAGAAAAUCAGAUUGGUACCAAACUGAAGUGUUGAGAACUGACAAUGGCUUGAAGUUUGUUUCAGAACAGUUUAAUGAGUUUUGCAGGAAGAAAGGUAUAAAGAGGCAUAGAACCGUGGCAUACACACCUCAACAGAAUGGUCUUGCUGAAAGAAUGAACAGGACUCUGUUGGAGCGCGUGAGGUGUAUGCUGUUAGGAGCUGGAUUGUCCAAGAGUUUCUGGGGAGAGGCUGUUAGUACUGCAACAUAUUUGAUUAACAGAUGUCCAUCAACAGGGAUAGAUCUCAAGACACCUAUGGAGGUUUGGAGUGGAAGACCGGAAGACUACUCUAACUUGAAAGUCUUCGGAGCUUUAGCGUUUGCCCAUGUCAGGCAAGACAAACUUGAUGCUAGAGCUGUGAAGUGUAUUUUCAUGGGUUAUCCUGAAGGUGUGAAAGGUUAUAGACUGUGGAAGAUGGAACCUGGAGAAUCAAAAUUUAUUAUAAGCAGGGAUGUUACUUUUGAUGAGACCCGCAUGGGGAUGAAGUGCAAAGACCUGGAUACAAGCUCAGAAACGGGGACAGAGAAACUUCAGUUUGAGGUGGAGCCUAUCACUGAUGAAAGGGAAGAGGAGGAUCAGACUCCAGUACCUGAUGAGGGUGAAGGCCAAGAGAUAGUGAAUCCUGACUAUCAGCUAGCAAGAGAUAGGGAGAGGAGACACAUUAAUCCACCUAAGAGAUACGGUUAUGCUGACCUUAUUUAUUAUGCUUUGAAUGUGGCUGAAGAAUUGCAAGACUCGGAACCAAAGAACUUCAGGGAGGCAUUAGAAAGCAAUGAAAACAAGGACUGGCUGAAGGCAAUGAAUGAGGAAAUGCUUUCAUUGGAGAAGAACCAGACUUGGAGACUUGUUUCAUUACCUGAGAAUCAAAGGGUAGUGGGAAGCAAGUGGGUGUUCAAGAAGAAAGAAGGUAUACCAGGGGUCGAAGCACCAAGGUAUAAGGCAAGACUUGUAGCGAAGGGUUUUACUCAGGUGGAAGGGAUUGAUUACAAUGAAAUCUUUUCACCGGUAGUAAAACAUUGUUCUAUAAGGGUACUUAUGGCGAUUGUUAACAUGUAUAAUCUUGAGUUAGAACAAAUGGAUGUGAAGACCGCAUUUCUACAUGGAGAGUUGGAAGAAACUAUCUAUAUGCAACAACCAUAACGUUUUGUAGAAGACAAUACAAAAGUGUGUUUGUUGAAGAAAUCUUUGUAUGGGUUGAAGCAAAGUCCAAAGCAGUGGUAUCGUCGGUUUGAUGAGUUCCUAGUAAAGGCUGGUUUUGUGAGAAGCAACUAUGAUAGUUGUGUUUACAUGAUGAGAAGGAAUGAGAAAGUCAUUCUCUAUCUUCUCCUUUAUGUAGAUGAUAUUCUUAUGGCAAGUUCUGACAUGCAAGAGAUUCAGAAGCUCAAGGAAAAAUUGAAUGAUGAAUUUGAGAUGAAGGAUCUUGGUAAUGCAAAGAAGAUACUUAGUAUGGAUAUCAUAAGGGACCAGAACAAAGGUGAGUUGUUCUUAUCUCAGCAGGGGUACUUGAGGAAAGUGGUGGAGCGGUUCAGAAUGAAAGAUUCUAAAGUCGUUAGCACUCCUCUUGGUCACCACACUAAGCUAUCUAUAAAGCAGUGUCCUCAAUCCGAUGAAGAGAAAAGCAAGAUGGAGGGUACUCCCUAUGCAAGUGGGGUUGGAAGCAUCAUGUAUGGUAUGGUUUGUAGUAGACCGGACUUAUCCUACGCAAUCAGUGUGAUAAGUCGGUUUAUGGCAAAUCCGGGUCAAGUGCACUGGCAAGCUUUGAAGUGGGUUCUGAGAUAUUUGAAUGGAUCUUUGAGAGGUGGUCUAAGGUAUACAAGGUCACAACCAGGUAGGGAUGCUUUGGAGGGAUAUGUAGAUGCGGACUAUGCAGGUAACGUAGACACUAGAAAAUCUUUGUCAGGUUUUGUGUUUACAUUGUUAGGUACAGCGGUAACUUGGAAGGCAAAUCAACAAUCAGUUGUAGCUCUUUCAACAACUCAAGCAAAGUACAUAGCCCUUGUUGAAGGGGUCAAGGAAGCCAUAUGGUUGAAAGGUAUGAUUGGAGAAAUGGGGAUUAGUUAAGGAUGUGUGAAGAUACAUUGUGAUAGCCAAAGUGCCAUUCAUUUGGCAAAUCAUCAGGUGUAUCAUGAAAGGACAAAGCACAUUGACAUUCGUUUGCACUUCGUCAGAGACAUGAUUGAGACUAAGGAGCUCAUGGUAGAGAAAGUGGCAUCGGAAGACAAUCCAGCAGACAUGUUCACCAAAUCAUUACCAAGAUCAAGAUUCAAGCAUUGCUUGGACUUGAUAAACUUCAUUGAAGCAUAGAUGAAGGAUUGGAGAGAGCAGCAAGGUGAUUGAUGGUUAAACUGGCAUCAUCACUGAUUUGAAGUCAAGGUGGAGAAUUGUGAGAGUUAACUUAAAAUCAGAAAUCUGGAGCAUCGUGCCACGAUGGAGAAGCAUCGCGCCACGAUGGUUGAAGCAAGAUUCCUGGGAAGACACUGGAUUUUUCGUGCCACGAUGAAGCCUCACCGCGCCACGAUGGUCGCGCUGAAGAUAAAAAUAAAACGUAUUUUCAGUUAGAUUUGUUUCAGUUUUAUAAGGGUUUACUUUCCACUAUAAAUACAGCCUUGUAUCAGAUGAUAAAAGUGUGUAGAAAAACAAGGUUUAGACCAACAAACAAACUAGGGUUUAUAGAGAAUCUCUCUUGGCAACAACUCUAGGGUUGGGAUUGUUUUGAUUCACCUUGAACAAAACACUAUUAGGAUUGAGUCUCUUGGUCACGGGAAGAGGCUGGGACUUGGGUAGAAUUAGGUUUGAAGACUGAUUCUUGAAACUCAUUAUCUCUUUGUAAAGAAACUCAUUCAUUAUAGUGGAACGGAGAGCUGCUCUCUCCCCCAGACUAGGUCA
RNAcentral lists this long non-coding RNA (8064 nucleotides) under Medicago truncatula (barrel medic). RNAcentral describes it as "lncRNA gene12133". The record is from RNAcentral. Lineage: Eukaryota; Viridiplantae; Streptophyta; Magnoliopsida; Fabales; Fabaceae.